UGGCUCAGAACGAACGCUGGCGGCAGGCUUAACACAUGCAAGUCGAACGCCCCGCAAGGGGAGUGGCAGACGGGUGAGUAACACGUGGGAACAUACCCUUUGGUCUGGAACAACGCCGGGAAACUGGCGCUAAUACCGGAUACGCCCUUUUGGGGAAAGGCUUGCUGCCGAAGGAUUGGCCCGCGUUCGAUUAGCUUGUUGGUGAGGUAACGGCUCACCAAGGCGACGAUCGAUAGCUGGUCUGAGAGGAUGGCCAGCCACAUUGGGACUGAGACACGGCCCAAACUCCUACGGGAGGCAGCAGUGGGGAAUAUUGGACAAUGGGCGCAAGCCUGAUCCAGCCAUGCCGCGUGAGUGAUGACGGCCUUAGGGUUGUAAAGCUCUUUCGCACGCGACGAUAAUGACGGUAGCGUGAGAAGAAGCCCCGGCUAACUUCGUGCCAGCAGCCGCGGUAAUACGAAGGGGGCUAGCGUUGUUCGGAAUCACUGGGCGUAAAGGGUGCGUAGGCGGAUUCUUAAGUCAGGGGUGAAAUCCCGAGGCUCAACCUCGGAACUGCCUUUGAUACUGGGGAUCUUGAGUCCGGAAGAGGUGAGUGGAACUGCGAGUGUAGAGGUGAAAUUCGUAGAUAUUCGCAAGAACACCGGUGGCGAAGGCGGCUCACUGGUCCGGAACUGACGCUGAGGCACGACAGCGUGGGGAGCAAACAGGAUUAGAUACCCUGGUAGUCCACGCCGUAAACGAUGAAUGCCAGCCGUUGGGUGAUUUAUCACUGAGUGGCGCAGCUAACGCUUUGAGCAU
Molecule: ribosomal RNA, 798 nt
Filed under: Lichenibacterium sp.
Lineage: Bacteria; Pseudomonadati; Pseudomonadota; Alphaproteobacteria; Hyphomicrobiales; Lichenihabitantaceae
Description: bacterial SSU rRNA
Rfam family: Bacterial small subunit ribosomal RNA
Source: RNAcentral